RNAcentral lists this long non-coding RNA (1187 nucleotides) under Monodelphis domestica (gray short-tailed opossum). Its description in RNAcentral is "lncRNA (ENSMODG00000032527.2)". The record is from RNAcentral. Lineage: Eukaryota; Metazoa; Chordata; Mammalia; Didelphimorphia; Didelphidae.
CCAGUAGAGCUGAAUGCUAAUGUUCUUUUUCCUAUUAUUAAAAUAGACAAAACCAGAUUUAACCGUGAAUGGUGCCAAUUUCCUCCCAAUUUCUUUUUUUUUCUUUUUCUACUGUUCUUCCUUUAUUUUCCAGAAGAGAGGGUCCGAGACUCCAAGAGAGGACGAGCCAACCUCUACAAAGAGAGAGAAUCAGUUAAGGAGGGAUCAGUUGAAGAAUCCAGAAUUCGCCAUGAAGAUAGAUGCCUGCAGAGACCACAUGUUGCACCAGAAGAUCCAGAGUGAACUUUGGGAUGUGAAUUGAACUAUGGGGGGUUGAAAUGCCUUUUUAAAAAAUGUAUACUCUUAUGUCAAAGGGGACUGCCCCCAAAUUGGCUUUUUGUCAACUUAGUAAUCAUUGGUUUUGUUCUCUUUUCCUUUUAUCCACAAAUUAUUGCAAUUUUUAAGUUGAUUAUGUUUCCAUGAUCCUUUUUGGGGAAACUGGUUUCCCAAUAGGAUCACAGGGGGAAUAUAUGUAAAUAGAGAUUUUGAGUGGGUGAAGAUUGGAUUUAGCAAUCUACUGAUUGUAACAAUGAAUAUACUUAGCUCUUCCUUUAUAGUGAAGGUACAAUCUAUUUUUAGAUUUUAACUACAAAAAGGUGUUAAGUAACUACAACAGGUGAAUUAACCACAAAGAGGUGUUAAGUAACCCAAAAAGAUACAAUCUAACCAGAGAAGGUGAGAAGUAAAGAAUGGGCAGUCCUGGAGAAAAGCAUAUGCUGUGAUUGGUAAAUGUGAAAAUUUAGAGGAGGUGACACAAGAGAAAAAGGUCUUGAAAUAGAGAAAGAAAAAAAAAGACUGAAGAGGACAGUCAGUCACCCAGGCUUGGAGUGAAGGAUCAGUCACUCGGAGCUGAAGUGAGGAUGGACAUUCAUUCAGAGAUUUGGGCACUGUCUCAGAGGAGUGACUGGCAGGCAGACACCCAGACUUCUUUAAGACUGUCUCCAUUGGUGAGUGAAAAGCUGACUUAGUGACCCCACCUUUCUGGAGACAUGAACCACAAAUUAAAUUUAAUAAGCCUUUGGACUUCAUCCCCUAGAAGUCCCUUAAUAUUUCCCAAAAUUCCCUUUUCCUGCAUAUCUGCAUUUUGCAUGGUUGUAUUCAAGUGGCUGUAGCUCCUUCCUCUUCUGCUCUUGGACCUUCAUCCAGGC